Molecule: long non-coding RNA, 3933 nt
Organism: Marmota monax (woodchuck)
Lineage: Eukaryota; Metazoa; Chordata; Mammalia; Rodentia; Sciuridae
Exons: 6
Source: RefSeq, a predicted model, not a curated record
GCCAUCUUACUCCUUGGUUUUGUGGGCUAUGUAAUCCCAGGUUUUGCCUGCUCACUGCAAGUAAUCCUGGGAAAUGCCUCUUCAUAGAAUUCUGCAAAUUAAAGUUCCUAUAUUUGCUUGCUCACUGCUGGCUGUCCUGGGAGACUCUUCCCUUAAGGAUUAUUGUUUAUUAUUUAAGAUAUGUUUGAAAGAUAGGCUUUGUGGUGAAUUGGCAGUACUGAGUAUACUGCUUUCUGACUCCUGUGAGCCACUUCAGAAAAAAGAAGGGACCUUUAAAUCUCACAUUUGUGUCCAAGUUGAACAAAGUUGAGGAUCAUUUGGAAACCUGUUACUUCAACUGUGACAGCUGCUUUCAUCUACAGUUUUCAGCGGACACAACAUCUUUGUUUGUAUGUGGUGCUGAGGAUUGAACCCGGGCCGCACGCAUGCCAGGAACCAUUGACAUUCAGGGAGGUGGCCAUUGAUUUAUCUGAAGAGGAAUGGAAAUGCCUGGACCCUGCUCAGCAGACUUUAUAUGGAAAUGUGAUGUUAGAGAUUUGUAGAAACCUGGUCUUUGUGGGUAUGUCUUCUCAUCAAAACCCAGAAUUUUUAGGAGAGCAGGAAAUAAAAUAUUUUUUGCAAAACUUGAUUAAGAGAAGAAAAUAAAAUAAAAUAAAGAUUACAGUGGAAGAGGUCUUGCUGUAGACAGGUUGAUUGGCAUCCUUGGAAGAUACACCCAUCUCUCAGAGGCUAUGUGGCUAUGUGUCUCCAAUGGCUCAUUCCAUCUCCAGUGCAGUGCUGAACUUACACAGAGCUAGGUAGGAUAUCACAUGUACUGGGCAGUCUCUAAACAGCAGUAUUGCCACUGUGAGUUCCUAAGAUACCAGACUUUCCUGCCUAAUGGCUUCCAUGUUUUUAUUUUACACACACUUCAGAGAUGUUUUCCAGCAUCUUCGUCUGACAUGCACUGCUUCAUCUUCCAUAGCAACAAGACUCCAAGAUGAAAUCCAAGAAGAUCGGUGCAUUUUAUGCUUUUGAGUGGGAUGAGGUUUGUUCUUAUUCAUAGCAGCAUUAUCUUUCCAUGUGUCAUACCCAGAGACUUCCCGGAUCAUACACAUGUCCCCAGUAAACUUAAUACUGUUGCCCUUAGAUUUUUCUGAGGCCCUAGUCUGGGCAUUCCAAGCCAUGUGCAACCAACAAAUUCAAAGUGUCUUCUGACUCAUUUCAGUGAGCUAAUUACAUACAGGGAUUUUUAACAAUAGCCACUUUGAUGGUAAUUUGAGCUGAAAGUUGAGAAGCCCAGCUGAGAUGCAACCCACACUUUGCCCUCAUGAGGGCUGCUUCAACUUGUUGUGGCCACAACCAUGGCCUGCACCUGCAGAGACCCCUGCCAACCAGAAGAAGGUGCUAGUGGGUCAGAAGUUUGGUGGCAUUGCCAGGAUGUGGGGCAUCUGCUGAGCUGGGGAGAGACAGCUGCACAUAUGCCAGUCACUUUUGAGAAUCUGUGUGCCUUUAAAUUAUCUGUGUAGCAUUUUUGGAAUCAUAUCCUUCCUCUAAAGAAUGGGAAAUUUGCUAUGGAGUCUAUUUUAUGCUUCAGUGAGUUACUGGAAUAUUUUGAAAUAUACCAUUGAGUAUAUAUCAUACUGGAUAAAAGCCACACAAAGGCAAAGAAUGUAGCAAAGAAUGUCCACAAAUAUUUCUGUAGAUUUUUUUAAAACAAAAGAAGAAGAAAUUCUCUAACUAUUAUCAGUCUGAUUGUUACUUUAUAAAAAGGAUUCAAUGAACAGUUUCUCCUUGUGCCAAUGCAUAUAAUUUGAAUGAAUGUGGGAAGAUUUGUACUUACCUACUAUUGCUUAAUCUAAAUGUAGAUAUAGAUACCUCUACAUUUAUGAUAAAUCUUUCAAGACCUGUAGACAGGUCUCUGCCCUAAGUAAAUAGCAAUAUAUAUGUUUUGGUGUAAAACAAUAAAAAUUGUGUGAAACUGAUAAAAAGUAAUCCUUUUUUAAGUCCUAGGAAACAUCUGUGUGAUCAUUUUAAAAAGCUUUAUAAAGAUAAAAGUGAGAACAUUUUUAAUCCAUGCUCAAAAAGUAUGGAACAAGAAGAAGUAUUGAACAAGCUUUCAAGAAAAUAAUUACAAAUAUAAGGAAUGUAAACAAGCUUUGAAUACAACUGAAAGUCUCAUUGAAUACCAGAGAUUUCAUACCAAAGAGAAGCCAUACAAACGUAAACAAUGUGGCAAAGCUUUUACUGUUAGGCAACAUCCUAUUGUGCACCAGAGAAUACACACUGGAGAGAAACCAUACAAAUGUAAAGAAUGUGGCAAAGCUUUUAAUCAAAGAUCACAUGUUACACAACACCAGAGAAUUCAUACUGGAGAAAAGCCAUACAAAUGUAAAAAAUGUGGCAAAGCCUUUACUUAAAGCUCAAGCCUCAUUAUUCACCAGAAAAUUCAUACUGGAGAAAAGCCAUACCAAUAUAAAGAAUGUGGGAAUGCUUUUACUGUUAGGCAAAACCCUAUGUAAAGAAUGUGGCAAUGGUUUCAUUCGAAGAUCAGACCUUAUUCAACACCACAAAAUUCAUACUGAGUAAAAGCCAUAAAAAUGCAAAGAAUGUGGGAAAGCUUUUCCUAUUAGACAAAGCCUUAUUUUUCAGAAAAAAAAUCAUACUGGAUAAAAGCCACACAAAGGCAAAGAAUGUAGCAAAGUUUUAAGUAUGCUUCAACUGAUACCAAGUACCAGAUAAUUCGUACUUGAGACAAUCCUUACAAAUCUAUAGAAUGUAAAAAUCAUUUGUUGUGAGGUAAUUGAUCACCUGUUGCAGUGAUUCACGUGCAGGUCAGCAUGAGAAAGAAAGAAGAAGCAGAGCAAGCAAAGCAGCAGCAGAAAAAAAAGUCCUUUAUUGUGUACAGCCAUCUUUUUAUAGUAUUGUGACCAAAGAAGGCAGCCUUCCAGCAUCAAUAAAUCAGGUCUUUCAGCUAAUUAAACAUAGCACACAGAAGUUUUACUUUCUAAUCAGAAGUGACCCCUUCUCAUGGCUAAUCUACUCUCGGCCCGGAGUAUGUUGAACUCUGCUCUUUGUUAAGAACAGAUAAUAAAAUUUUUCUCAGCGCCCUCCUAGCCCACUUGGCAGAACAUCCCGUUCGCAGGCAAGUCCUCCCAAGGACAGCAGACACCUCGUUUUCAAGCAUGUCCGCUGUUACCUAUCUAUACCUUGACAGAAUAUCCUGUUUGCAGGCAGACUCCAUCAAGGACAGUAAUAGUAAUGCAGUCACAUCUGAUUCUGUACAAUCAUCAGAGAAUUCAAACUGGAAAGAAAACAUACAAUUGCAAAAUAAAAAUAUUGAAAGUUUUUAAUCAAAACUCAACUUUUCUAAAAUAUCAAAAAUAUAGCAGUAAUUGCCCCACAGAUGUAAAAAAUGUGACAAAGCUUUUAAUGAAUGCUCCCAACUUACAAAUCUGCACAGAUUUAGUAUUCAAAAUAAGCCCUGUACGUGUCAAGAACAUAUCAGUGCUUUACUCAAACCUAAAAAAAAAUACUACCUAAAAACCAAAUACAUAAAAUGUCUGCAUAAAACUCUGUAACAUGCAUGCCUUACAUAUCAAGAAAAUAUUUAUUACUGAGGAAAAUGUUGAUAUGUGGGAAGUAGAGCAAAAUCACAAUGCUCCAUACAUUUCUGAAUAUGAGUAAUUAUCAGAGAGAAUAUUUGAAUUUAUAGAGUGUGCAAUACUUUUGAAUAGUUGCUCAAAAUUUACCGGACAUUAGUAGUUGAUGUGAUAGAAAUAAGGAACUCCUUAGAUAUCAGCAUAGUACAGACAUUAUCACUGAGAAGAUAUUUAUUAUGAAUCAAAAAAUUAAUAAAUACGCUCAAGUCUUGAAACCUUGAUAAAAGUAUAAAUUUCCUCUGGCUAAUUAUAUCAAAGUUGAAGGACAGAUUAAUGAGAUUUUUAAAGAGAG